UUGUGACCAUUUGCAAAUUAUGUUUCUUCCGGAAGUCCAAGUUCCCUGGGACAUUCAUAGAACGUAUCAACUGCCAAAACUUGAGGUGUAUUUUGAAGAUGUAGAAAGGAAUUCGUUAAUUUUUGUAAAACAAACCACCACUCUCGCUCAAGCUCUGUCUCAUCAAAGAUAUGUGGUAUAUGGAGGAAUACCGUCAUUUAUUAUCAUGGUCAAGGGUUCAUCCUUUAUAGAAGCAUUCAAAGAGAAAUACAGAGGAUGAUUUUAAAUGAUGGAAAAUGAUUUUAACUCACUGGAGUCUCUCAAUAUGAUAUUGACUGUGGAAUAAUUGAUGAUUUUAACCUUCUUAAGUACAGUUGCCAAUUGGCAACAAUAACAAAAUGAAACUGAAUCGAAAAAUUUUACUGUUUAAAGGUUAAAAUCACAGUUUUCAACAAGAUUAAGACGUUUACAAGAAUACAAUGACAGCAAACUAAAUUGGGUUACCUUUAUUUCACUAUCCAGCGAAUAAUUACAUGAAUGACACAGUACCAAAUGAAAAUAGCUAAUAAAAGCACUCAAAACAAAUAAACAAAAUUUACCAUAGUACUUAAAUGUAAAAUAAGCGCUUCGUGAGCGUUUACGUAAUCUGAAACAAUGUUUUGUACAUGUUUGUAUCAGUAUAUGCAUAUUUUAAUUUCAAUGAAAUAAGGUUUAAUAGGUUUUA
Molecule: long non-coding RNA, 703 nt
Organism: Xenia sp. Carnegie-2017
Lineage: Eukaryota; Metazoa; Cnidaria; Anthozoa; Malacalcyonacea; Xeniidae
Exons: 3
Source: RefSeq, a predicted model, not a curated record